CAAAAAGAAGCAAGCUUAUCUAUAAUACCCAAAACUAUAAUUUUUAAUAAAAUACUUUUUGA
RNAcentral lists this transfer RNA (62 nucleotides) under Ampithoe lacertosa. Its description in RNAcentral is "tRNA-Pro". Lineage: Eukaryota; Metazoa; Arthropoda; Malacostraca; Amphipoda; Ampithoidae. The record is from RNAcentral.